This 257-nucleotide unclassified non-coding RNA is filed under the name uncultured fungus. RNAcentral's name for it is "sequence contains ITS1, 5.8S rRNA gene". The stretch from base 209 to 257 matches the Rfam family "5.8S ribosomal RNA", at positions 1 to 49 of the family's 154-position model. Lineage: Eukaryota; Fungi. The record is from RNAcentral.
UCUCCGUUGGUGAACCAGCGGAGGGAUCAUUGCUGGAACGCGCCCCUGGCGCACCCAGAAACCCUUUGUGAACUUAUACCUUACUGUUGCCUCGGCGCAUGCUGGCCCCCUGGGGGUCCCUCACUCCGGUGAGGAGCAGGCACGCCGGCGGCCCCCAAAACUAUUGUAUUAAAGUGUUACCUCUGAGUAAAGCUUCUAAAUGAAUCAAAACUUUCAACAACGGAUCUCUUGGUUCUGGCAUCGAUGAAGAACGCAGC